RNAcentral lists this ribosomal RNA (269 nucleotides) under uncultured prokaryote. RNAcentral describes it as "partial 16S ribosomal RNA". It matches the Rfam family "Bacterial small subunit ribosomal RNA", at positions 524 to 792 of the family's 1533-position model. The record is from RNAcentral.
UACGUAGGUGGCGAGCGUUAUCCGGAAUUAUUGGGCGUAAAGAGCGCGCAGGUGGUUGAUUAAGUCUGAUGUGAAAGCCCACGGCUUAACCGUGGAGGGUCAUUGGAAACUGGUCGACUUGAGUGCAGAAGAGGGAAGUGGAAUUCCAUGUGUAGCGGUGAAAUGCGUAGAGAUAUGGAGGAACACCAGUGGCGAAGGCGGCUUCCUGGUCUGUAACUGACACUGAGGCGCGAAAGCGUGGGGAGCAAACAGGAUUAGAAACCCGGGUA